CCUACGGGAGGCAGCAGUGAGGAAUAUUGGUCAAUGGGCGCGAGCCUGAACCAGCCACGUAGCGUGAAGGCUGACUGCCCUACGGGUUGUAAACUUCUUUUAUAAAGGAAUAAAGUGAGGCACGUGUGCCUUUUUGUAUGUACUUUAUGAAUAAGGAUCGGCUAACUCCGUGCCAGCAGCCGCGGUAAUACGGAGGAUCCGAGCGUUAUCCGGAUUUAUUGGGUUUAAAGGGAGCGUAGGUGGGUUGUUAAGUCAGUUGUGAAAGUUUGCGGCUUAACCGUAAAAUUGCAAUUGAUACUGGCAGCCUUGAGUACAGUUGAGGUAGGCGGAAUGCGUGGUGUAGCGGUGAAAUGCUUAGAUAUCACGAUGAACUCCGAUUGCGAAGGCAGCUUACUAAACUGCCACUGACAUUGAUGCUCGAAAGUGUGGGUAUCAAACAGGAGUAGAUACCCUGGUAGUC
This 460-nucleotide ribosomal RNA is filed under the name uncultured bacterium. RNAcentral's name for it is "partial 16S ribosomal RNA". It matches the Rfam family "Bacterial small subunit ribosomal RNA", at positions 338 to 795 of the family's 1533-position model. The record is from RNAcentral.